This is a long non-coding RNA of Mustela lutreola (European mink), 1181 nucleotides long. RefSeq lists it as uncharacterized. The transcript is spliced from 3 exons. The record is from RefSeq and is a predicted model, not a curated record. Lineage: Eukaryota; Metazoa; Chordata; Mammalia; Carnivora; Mustelidae.
UCGUCUUCUCCGGGCCCUCCUCCAUUUCCUUCUCCCCUUCUUCCCCUCUUCCUUCUUCCUACUUCUUCCCUCUUCUUUUCCUUCCCUUCUGUCCCCUCUCCCCCUACUUCCCCUUCCUCUUCCUCUUUCCCUUGCGUUAGGGUGACUCCUUGCUGGCCGCAAAGAAUUGCACAAAGAGUAGAGCAACAAGCAGGACAGAGUUCAUUCAUGCUCCAAGGUGGGAGAGGAGCCCGACAUUAAGAGAGAUGUCCUCCCAAAUUUCUGUCAAACUGGGCCUUUUAGGGGCUUUUGAGGACGUGAGAGGGUUGCAGCUGUGCCCUUGGGGGUGUGUGAGGAGGGUGUCGACGCUUGGACCCAUAGAGCAGAAGAGAGCACAAGCAAGGGGAGAGGCAGAGAGAGACAAGAAGCAGGCUCCCUGCAAAGCAGGGGAAGCCCAACAUGGGACUUGAUCCCAGGACCCCGGAAUCAUGACCUGAUUCAACCAAAGAGAGAGUAUAUGCAGGAAGAGGUGCAGAGGGAGAGGGAGGAACAGGCCCCCCACUGAGCUGGGAGCUCAUGCAGGGCUGGAUCCCAGGGCCCCGGGAUCAUGACCUGAGCUGAAGGAAGGCAGUUGCAGAACCACCUGAGUCACCCAGGCACCCUGAAGUGAGGAUUUUGAAGACCUUCUCUGCUCCUGCCCUUCGGAACUAUUUGUUACUUAAACUAUAACCCCUGGAGGAUUUUACUAGUUACCAAGCACAUUUAGAGACGGCCUUAAGAAAAACAUAGAUUGGCAGCAGGUCUUUGGGGAGAAAGACGAUACAUGACCGUGAAGCUGGGCAGCUGGGGAUGCUCGGCUGGUUCAGGGCGGAACGCCGCCCCUUCACAGAAGCCUGGCAGCGGGCAGCCCGGAACGCCGGUCAGCUCAGGGUGGAACGGAACACCGCCUGCUUCCCUUUCCCAUUAUCGCUCCUUUCUCUUCCCAGAAGCGCCCAUUGUUAGAUGAGUCCUUUGAAUGUGCUUGCUGAACUAUAAACUUUAUCCUACUUCUUGCUUGUCCACAAGACACGUGACUGAUGUUUGACCAUCAUCGGUCCUUCUGUUGGCUCUUGUUUCUAUCUAAUAAAAGUGAGACUGUGGAGUUGCUCGUGGCAGCAGUCUUUUCGACUGUUGUCCCCUGCUCCCCAAUCUCUUGCAGCUGA